Molecule: long non-coding RNA, 920 nt
Filed under: Heterocephalus glaber (naked mole-rat)
Lineage: Eukaryota; Metazoa; Chordata; Mammalia; Rodentia; Bathyergidae
Description: lncRNA (ENSHGLG00100051810.1)
Source: RNAcentral
GGUAGGUCACGGGAGUCGGGCCUCUGGAGGGCCUACCCUGUCCCUACCCCCUUUCUCUCUGCAUUUCGUGCUCUCUGCUUUCUGGUUGCUGUGCUGUUUCUGCCACAUCACAGGCCUAAAAGUAAUGGAGUCACUAACUGUGAUCUGAAAUCUCUGAAACCAUAAAGAUAAGCAAUUUCUCCAAAAUUCUUCCUGCUGAGCACAUAACCAACAUCUCCUCUUCUGAGCCCAGAUGAGGCGACAGAAUAUGCUGAUGCCAGCCCCAGGAGGCUGGAGCCCAGUUUCCUUUCCAUAGGAAAAGAGAUGAAGGGCCAGGGAUUUAGCUCAGUUGUUCCACUGCCUGCUUCUCAAAUGCAAGGUCCUGAGUUUGAUCCUUGGUACUCUCCCCCAAAAAAGAGAUGAUGAGUUGAAGAUGGCUGGAAGCAUUAAAGCAGGUGGGAAAGGCUGUCCCCAGCUGUCCGCAGUUUUUCAUGGCACGGCUGAGACUAUGGUAUGAAGAUAUGACUUUGACAUCUUGAAGGAUCAGGGAUGAAGGCAAGUGAGUACAGCAUAAAGUCACUUACUGGAGCUGCUGCUGAGCUGUUCUCAGAGUCCACAGGCCCAGGACCGUCCUCUGUGCCCCUUUCCUGGCUGGCAGUCUCUGUAGCUCCAGCUGGUCUAGGCAGGGCCGACAUGGGCGAUCACUCCUCAGCUCUGUGAUUCUCCAGCCACCUCUGCACCUUGGAAGACAGAAGCAUCUGACUUCAGAUCCCCAGAGAGAACAGGUUUCCACCCAUGUCCACACCACAUCUAACACAAGAACAAGAUUUACCUCCUUUCACGAUGAGUGAUAUGGAAAUAUCUACUCCUUUCAGGUAUGCAGUCAGCACUGAGAACCCAACAAGAUGAUCUCAAUAGUUAGACAGUACAUUUCCCCAAAG